Molecule: ribosomal RNA, 287 nt
Filed under: uncultured bacterium
Lineage: Bacteria
Description: partial 16S ribosomal RNA
Rfam family: Bacterial small subunit ribosomal RNA
Source: RNAcentral
UACAUGCAAGUCGAACGCACCACUUCGGUGGUGAGUGGCGAACGGGUGAGUAACACGUAGAUAACCUGCCCUUAAGACGAGGAUAACCGUUGGAAACGAUGGCUAAAACUGGAUAGGAAUAUUGAAGGCAUCUUUAAUAUUUUAAAAGACCUAGUAAUAGGUAUACUUAAGGAGGGGUCUGCGGCGCAUUAGUUAGUUGGUGAGGUGAUGGCUUACCAAGACGAUGAUGCGUAGCCGGACUGAGAGGUUGAACGGCCACAUUGGGACUGAGAAACGGCCCAAACUCC